AGUGAACGCUGGCGGUAGGCCUAACACAUGCCAGUCGAACGGCAGCACAGUAAGAGCUUGCUCUUACGGGUGGCGAGUGGCGGACGGGUGAGGAAUACAUCGGAAUCUACUUUUUCGUGGGGGAUAACGUAGGGAAACUUACGCUAAUACCGCAUACGACCUACGGGUGAAAGCAGGGGAUCUUCGGACCUUGCGCGAUUGAAUGAGCCGAUGUCGGAUUAGCUAGUUGGCGGGGUAAAGGCCCACCAAGGCGACGAUCCGUAGCUGGUCUGAGAGGAUGAUCAGCCACACUGGAACUGAGACAAGGUCCAGACUCCUACGGGAGGCAGCAGUGGGGAAUAUUGGACAAUGGGCGCAAGCCUGAUCCAGCCAUACCGCGUGGGUGAAGAAGGCCUUCGGGUUGUAAAGACCUUUUGUUGGGAAAGAAAAGCAGCAGGUUAAUACCCCGCUGUUCUGACGGUACCCAAAGAAUAAGCACCGGCUAACUUCGUG
RNAcentral lists this ribosomal RNA (492 nucleotides) under uncultured bacterium. RNAcentral's name for it is "partial 16S ribosomal RNA". It matches the Rfam family "Bacterial small subunit ribosomal RNA", at positions 29 to 507 of the family's 1533-position model. The record is from RNAcentral.